UACGUAGGAGACGAGCGUUGUCCGGAGUUACUGGGCGUAAAGGGUGCGUAGGCGGUCGGGUAAGUCUGAUGUGAAAUCUCACAGCUUAACUGUGAAACUGCAUUGGAUACUAUUCGGCUUGAGAGUUGGAGGGGGGACUGGAAUUCUUGGUGUAGCAGUGAAAUGCGUAGAUAUCAAGAGGAACACCAGUGGCGAAGGCGAGUCCCUGGACAACUUCUGACGCUGAGGCACGAAAGCUAGGGGAGCAAACAGG
RNAcentral lists this ribosomal RNA (253 nucleotides) under uncultured bacterium. RNAcentral describes it as "partial 16S ribosomal RNA". It matches the Rfam family "Bacterial small subunit ribosomal RNA", at positions 524 to 776 of the family's 1533-position model. The record is from RNAcentral.